This 467-nucleotide ribosomal RNA is filed under the name uncultured bacterium. RNAcentral's name for it is "partial 16S ribosomal RNA". It matches the Rfam family "Bacterial small subunit ribosomal RNA", at positions 28 to 507 of the family's 1533-position model. The record is from RNAcentral.
GACGAACGCUGGCGGCGUGCUUAACACAUGCAAGUCGAACGGAAAGGCCUCUUUCGGGGGGUACUCGAGUGGCGAACGGGUGAGUAACACGUGAGUAACCUGCCCUUGACUUUGGGAUAACUUCAGGAAACUGGGGCUAAUACCUGAUAGGAGCUCCUGCUGCAUGGUGGGGGUUGGAAAGUUUCGGCGGUUGGGGAUGGACUCGCGGCUUAUCAGCUUGUUGGUGGGGUAGUGGCUUACCAAGGCUUUGACGGGUAGCCGGCCUGAGAGGGUGACCGGCCACAUUGGGACUGAGAUACGGCCCAGACUCCUACGGGAGGCAGCAGUGGGGAAUAUUGCACAAUGGGUGGAGGCCUGAUGCAGCAACGCCGUGUGCGGGAUGACGGCCUUCGGGUUGUAAACCGCUUUCGCUCAUGACGAAGCUUUGUGUGACGGUAGUGGGUAAAGAAGCACCGGCUAACUACGUG